CGGGGUGUGGCGCAGUUGGCUAGCGCAUCUGCUUUGGGAGCAGAGGGUCGCCCGUUCGAGUCGGGCCACCCCGACCC
RNAcentral lists this transfer RNA (77 nucleotides) under Bacteroidota bacterium. RNAcentral's name for it is "Bacteroidetes bacterium (hot springs metagenome) tRNA-Pro". It matches the Rfam family "tRNA". From Rfam's summary of the family: Transfer RNA (tRNA) molecules are approximately 80 nucleotides in length. Their secondary structure includes four short double-helical elements and three loops (D, anti-codon, and T loops). Further hydrogen bonds mediate the characteristic L-shaped molecular structure. tRNAs have two regions of fundamental functional importance: the anti-codon, which is responsible for specific mRNA codon recognition, and the 3' end, to which the tRNAs corresponding amino acid is attached (by aminoacyl-tRNA synthetases). tRNAs cope with the degeneracy of the genetic code in two manners: having more than one tRNA (with a specific anti-codon) for a particular amino acid; and 'wobble' base-pairing, i.e. permitting non-standard base-pairing at the 3rd anti-codon position. The record is from RNAcentral. Lineage: Bacteria; Pseudomonadati; Bacteroidota.